ACUACAAGUAGCACAAUACAAGAGAAUACAGAAGUACACAAUGGAAAGGACAUUUUAGAAAAAAGAGAAAACAAAAAAACAAACUCUGAGAAAGUUAAACAACCUGGAUUGGCAUCAUUUGAGGAACAAUCCAGACCUGGAACAAGUGAGGAACAAUCCAGGCGUGAUAAAGAAUGUUGAACACAUAGUAUGUGGCGAAAACUGCAGCAAGCCCUGGGAUGAAGGUUUUUUGGAUGCCUUCACAGAUGACCUGGCUUUCGAUGCUGAUCAUCCAAUGUCCCAAUUUGACUCCAUCACCAGCAACUGAUGCAGACAACAGUUAUGGAAAAUAAAUAUGGGUAUAAGGGCCUUAUAUGAGGAUAAGAAGUUCACAGAAAAAGCCACCUCUUAUAGAUUGUUUUAUCUUUUUAACUGUAAUGUUUUGUGCAACUUGAUGUGUUUGUGUGGCAUUAAAGCUAUUUUUUGUUGUUUAACUGGUGUUUUAGGUCAAUACACACACAUUGAACUGUAGAGCUAAUAGGAAAG
Long non-coding RNA from Esox lucius (northern pike), 525 nucleotides. RefSeq lists it as uncharacterized. The record is from RefSeq and is a predicted model, not a curated record. The transcript is spliced from 3 exons. Lineage: Eukaryota; Metazoa; Chordata; Actinopteri; Esociformes; Esocidae.